CCCAGUCAGAAAAGACCUGGUAACUCCCUGGAGAAUCACUGGUCAGAGUGAUUGCAGCAACAAUCAAAAUACUCACCCAAGAAGAAUCUAGUUUGCUUCUGCCUCAGUUUCCUCCCUUUUUCACAUUUUUUUUUUCAUGUAGGCCCUCAGCCUGUGAGAUUGUGUCACCCACAUUCAGAGCAGGUCUCCCUGCUUCAGUCUGCUGUCCCACAUGCCAAUUAUCUCAAGAACACCUUCAUCACCACAGCCAGAACUCUCUUCGUCCAAUCAAGUUAACAUCCAGAUUGACCAUCACACACACACCAUUUCCUGCUCUCCUGGUCCACUUUCCACACUGCAAGUUACAUGAUGCAUUUAGAGCAUAACUUGAGCACCCAUUAUUUAAAAUUUACCAAUUACUUCCCGUGACUCUUAUCAUAAUUACCCAAAUCAUUAUAGGGGAUGACUUAGGAUGUUUUGGGAGGCAAAAGUUAGAAAAAAAAAGGGAUCUAUCCAUGUAAAGAAUGACUUAAACAACAAGAGCAUUUAUGAUCUUACAUAAAAGUGCAGAAAUAAGAAAUGCAUGUGUUUAGUUCAAUAACGCCACCAAGAACGUAAAUUCCCUCCAGCUUCCCUAUCAUCCUCAAGUUGGCUUUUCCCUCUAAUCGCCUCCUCCGGGGUCACAGAUGUCUGCAGGAGCUCCACGGACACAGCAGUGCUUGGAGCCAGAUGAGGGAAAGUACCUUACUACGUCCCCCUUUGAAGUCUAGAAAACAUAUCAGGGAAUCUCUGUGCCCACCCCCAACCUCUCUCCUACUGGACUCAACUCACAUCCUCAAGGAGAAUGACUUGUCAUGACUGGACUAAGGAAGAUUCAUCUCCUUAGGGGUUGAGGUGGGGUCAAAUUCACCUUAAAUCUCAAGGUCACUUCCUAGCUGCACAACACUGAGGUUUCAGUAUCAAGAAAGAAGGAACAUCAGGGUGGUUAACCAACAAUGUCUCUGGUAUGUGUUGCAGGACCCACAGGAACUGCCCAGCUCUCCUUCACUCCCAAUAGGCUCUACUCCCCGCUGAGGUCAACCAGCCACCCCCACACAUGGGUGCAGAUCACCUCUUGGAGUUGGAGACAUCGACAUCGCUUCAUCUGCAGAAUCAGCAAGACCAAGGCUAUCCAUCUCUUGAUGAUUGGAAUGGACACAUACCCUUGUCCUGCACAAUCAGACCACUGAGCCUCUGGCUGUGACUGUUGAAGAUGGCAGGGCACGUGACCCAAGCAGGCCCAGACUUGACAGAGGACCACAGGAAGACUGAGAAGGAAGCCAAUGUAGGAAUGGAAAUGAGAAAGGAAGAGGGACUGGGCCUGGUGAAUUUUUUUAUGACGCUACCUGAAGGGUCUGACUUAGUUACUAAGGACCUCAAAUUGCAAGGCUGCCUUUGAACUUUCAAUCCUCCUGCCUCAGCCUCCUGAGUAGCUGGGAUUACAGGUUUGUACCACCACACACGGCUGUGUACAGGUUUUCUCCAGUCACAGGAGCAUGGUGGGCUCCCAUAGGACACAAGCCUAUCAACAAAGGACAAAUGCUAGUACAAGAUCAGCAUUCUCGCCCCUCAGAUGGAAUGAGGCCAAGCUGUUCUACACAGUAUGCAAGAGGUCCCCAGUGGACAAGUGAUAUCCUGCAUGUCAUGCUAGGCCUUGGCCCCCUUCCCUUCUCUAUCUCAAUUCCUCUUUCCUCCCCUGCUAGUUGCUGGAAUCAGCUUACCAAUAAACAACAUUCACUUAAA
Non-coding RNA from Ictidomys tridecemlineatus (thirteen-lined ground squirrel), 1761 nucleotides. The record is from RefSeq and is a predicted model, not a curated record. NCBI's taxonomy places the organism in Eukaryota, Metazoa, Chordata, Mammalia, Rodentia, Sciuridae.